This 201-nucleotide long non-coding RNA is filed under the name Elaeis guineensis (African oil palm). RNAcentral's name for it is "long non-coding RNA (EGUI_LNC048621)". Lineage: Eukaryota; Viridiplantae; Streptophyta; Magnoliopsida; Arecales; Arecaceae. The record is from RNAcentral.
UAUCUGAGCUCAGAUUUUGCUAAAUUAAAAUACAUUGAUACAUUAACUCCUACUAAUUCGGAGAGAUCAGUCUCAUCUUGACUCACGCAUUUCCUUGACGAAUACUUGACUGCACCCAAAAAUCUUUCAUCAUUGAAUUAUAAGCUCAGAUAGUCUAGCAUCAAAGUACAGUGAGUUGCUUACAAGUCACCAUGGUGAUCU